This 274-nucleotide ribosomal RNA is filed under the name uncultured bacterium. RNAcentral describes it as "partial 16S ribosomal RNA". It matches the Rfam family "Bacterial small subunit ribosomal RNA", at positions 523 to 796 of the family's 1533-position model. The record is from RNAcentral.
CUACGGAGGGUGCAAGCGUUACUCGGAAUCACUGGGCGUAAAGCGCGCGCAGGCGGUCUUUUAAGUUGGAUGUGAAAGCCUACGGCUCAACCGUAGAACUGCAUCCAAAGCUAUUAGACUAGAGUGUGGGAGAGGAAGAUGGAAUUAGUUGUGUAGGGGUAAAAUCCGUAGAGAUAACUAGGAAUACCAAAAGCGAAGGCAAUCUUCUGGAACACUACUGACGCUGAGGCGCGAAAGCGUGGGGAGCAAACAGGAUUAGAAACCCUAGUAGUCC